UCAGGAACUCAUGGUGAGAAAAAUUCUAAGGAGAAAGAAGGCAAUACAAAGCUUACCUCGAUCAUGGUCGGGUAGAACUUGGACAGCAUCUCGGUCACUUGCCGAGACCUCAGCGACUCCACGUCGGCCGGGAGGAGGAUCCCCUGGCACAACCUCCUCACCAGGUUGUGGUCGGCCAACGCCGACGCCCCUUCGGGGAACUGUGCGCUGGGCGGCACAGAGCGGCUCCCCGACCUCGUUUCGUCCGCGGGGUCCAUCGGGGCUUUCCCUCGAUCGGCUGCCCCGACCGACGGAACCGGCAGCGAGGGGAUGCUCGAAGUAGAACCAGCACCCCCCGUUGCGGCCACAGACGCCGCCGGAUGAUGUUCGGUUUCCCGAACGUCAUCCGGCUCCACCGCUGCCGG
Molecule: long non-coding RNA, 404 nt
Filed under: Elaeis guineensis (African oil palm)
Lineage: Eukaryota; Viridiplantae; Streptophyta; Magnoliopsida; Arecales; Arecaceae
Description: long non-coding RNA (EGUI_LNC025042)
Source: RNAcentral